ACGAAACAGUGGCAAUUUCCAUGUUUUUUAUCGAUUUUUCGACAAGUUACAGAUUUCGGAAUUCUUCAAGACUAGAUAGCCGGCUGGUUGCAUGGUGUGUACUGCAGAUAACUUCUCGACUUAAUUCGGCUGAUGUGAUGCUUUAGUUGAUUCGAGAGGCUACAUGUAUAUAAGCCCAGUACGUCGACAUCAUUGAUCCGGCAGUGAACAAGAUAAGUGGUUCAGCCUCCAAGAUGUGUCACCAGAAAUGCAACCGACAUUAUAGACAGGCGUGAUUACUACUCUGAUUUUGGACUGAUGGUAUACUCGUCUUCAAAAUGGACCUGACUAGGAAUGAUGAUGGUGACUUCCCUCCUCAGAAAAAAGCUCGGUUGGAUUCGAAAGUUGGUGCAGGCGGUCAUUAGCGAUAUUUCGGUCGUAAACGCAAGAAGUCCAAGAAAUCCACUGACAAAUCAGGAAAACGUAUAUUCAAUGUCGGCGACACGUGUUUGUUCAGAUUGGACUCAAACGUUUAUCUUGGAACCGUUCUUAGUCAAGUUGAUGAACAUCAUUUCCAAAUUGAGGACUAUACAGGAACAGUGCGCACCUUCAUUUGUCUGUCACUUUGAUUAAAAGAAAGUUAAAGUUGAAACUUCUAUAGCAAGGAAUAUGAAGAUGUGAACUUUGUAUAAUUAUUUUUUGAA
This is a long non-coding RNA of Lineus longissimus, 683 nucleotides long. RefSeq lists it as uncharacterized. The transcript has 4 exons. The record is from RefSeq and is a predicted model, not a curated record. NCBI's taxonomy places the organism in Eukaryota, Metazoa, Nemertea, Pilidiophora, Heteronemertea, Lineidae.